This is a long non-coding RNA of Ailuropoda melanoleuca (giant panda), 1441 nucleotides long. RefSeq lists it as uncharacterized. The record is from RefSeq and is a predicted model, not a curated record. Lineage: Eukaryota; Metazoa; Chordata; Mammalia; Carnivora; Ursidae. The transcript is spliced from 3 exons.
GCCCAGCCCCACCACCUGGGAGGCCUCCACCAAGUGAUCUAACUUCCCCAGGCUUUGUCGUCCUAGUCGGUGAAACAGCUCUAAUGACAGAACCCACUUCCCAGAGUUGUUGCAACUAGUAAAAUAAACGGUAGAAGUUCUCCUAAGAGACCACGACACCGUGACUCCACCGAACAAGAGAUCUGCUUUCUCUCGGCCUCCAAACCCUGGGCAGAGCGAAAGAAAAAGCUGAAGCCAGCAGUCACCCAGAGUUCAAGGUCUGAAAAAGAGACUAAAACAAAACCCCAAAACUAUGGAGAAACAGAGGCUCACAGGGGCACGCACCAUUCCGAGAGAGGAAUGAGCCAGAAAAUGAGGCUGAGGUGAGCGGCCAGGGAGGCAGGAAGAGAAGAGAAGAAAGAGCAUCUGGGAAAUUGAGAGAGGAAGGUGGAAAGGUGUCCACGCGCCGUGCCACAUGGAGCUCACUGGCGGGGCCAGCUUCUGUGCCGAGCGGCACGACUUCCCCCGGGGCUCGCGGCCUGGGCCUGCAUCUGUUUUAUGUGAGUAAUAAGAAGGGGGUAAUUCCAGAAGGGCAGGGGACGCGGGGAGGUCCUUGCUACCUUUGUAAGGCAACAUCGAAAAGGGAAACGUGCUCGUGACAUUUUCAUUAAUCGGCGUGGUUAAGGCACGUCUCGGCCGGAGGGCUGCCCGGGGAGGAGCCUAGAAGCCACCAGAGGAGCCGGACUCAAGGGUCUGGGUGUGAAGCAGCCCCCCCACCUGCGAUCUGGGGGAUCUGGGAGACGCGACCUCCGCUUGGAGAAUGUGAGCCCUGUAGACAGGAGGGAAGAAUGCCCUGUUUAUUUUCACCUGCCUCAUUUCAGGCUGGCUGACGUCUUCAUGCCCACUCUGUCCCCUCCGUUUAGCCUCAGCCAAGCAUGCAGCCCUACGGCCAAGGCCGUGCCUCAUGCUCGGUCAGUUUGGCACAACCAGGCUAGGGGGAGCUCAAAAGGGGAAAUACUGGGAAAUGAAAAAUGCUCACAAUUCUCAAAAAUGCUCACAAUUCUCAAAGUCUGUUUUUAAAAAGAAAACACCCCAAAACAUGAAAAAGAUUUGCUCCUCGCCCUCUGAGAGCUGUGGACGUACCAUAAGGCACAGCGGGUGUCCGCAGGGCACUCACCACAUCUGAGGGCUGGUCGGGGCCACUAUUUUUUUUUCUUGUCAAAAUAAAUGGGCCUUUUGUGUUGAAAAAGAUUUCAUGGUUUGAUUGCCUCUGAGGACGGCCAAGCCUCAUUGACGUGAAAGCACCUCACUGAGACUCCCGCUGCCAUGGGCUGGCCGGCCUGGGUGACCUUCACUCCAGGGUGGGGACGGCUGCCUCCCUCCCGCCCCUGCUCUAGGGGGGAACCCCGGCCCUCCCUCCAGACCCCAGGAUAGAGGCCAAGCUGACGACAGAGCUGGGAGA